CCCUUGCCAUAGGUGGUUUAUUUUGAGGGCUUAACAGUAUUAGUGCAUUGGUAGGAAGAGAAUAUGAAGGUUUGAAGGUAAAACCUGAAUUUGGUAAAUCGGGAUCUUACUAACACAGUCCACACCCUUGUUUGAGUUGUGUUACCAAGAUACCAGACUCCUCCACUGCCUUCAUGUAAAUGUAACAAGAAUGACGUUUAUCACCUGCUUGCAACAAAAAGAAAGAA
This 227-nucleotide long non-coding RNA is filed under the name Cyanistes caeruleus (blue tit). Its description in RNAcentral is "lncRNA (ENSCCEG00000021042.1)". The record is from RNAcentral. Lineage: Eukaryota; Metazoa; Chordata; Aves; Passeriformes; Paridae.